GACACUCAACCACUGAGCCACCAGACAUCCCUGGAUAAAUCAUAUUUAAUAAUGAAGGUUGGAUCAUUUGAAGAAUCUGAAUCCUAUAUGGCUCGAAAUGAUCUUAUUAGAGGGAAUGAAACCAUGGAGUCAAAAUUAUGUUGUUGAAAUUGAAAAUUUGAGGCUCUGAAUAAAUCUAUGAACACAAGGUAAUUUAUAAAAAUUGCUUGCUUUCACCAAGGAUCAAAAUUCCAUUUGCUGCCUUGAAGUGAAAAUAUCUUCCUCAGAAUGUCAUCCAUCCAGAGUUAGCUCAUUUAAGCCCCUAAACCUACUUUAUGCUUCUUCCCUUGACUCCGAGGUCAUCCUAUAUGUGAGACCCCUGUGGCUGGCUGCUGCAUCUGAAGAAUAAGAGAUUGGCAUGGGUUUGAUUUCCAUCUUUUUCAGUCCCAUGAAUUGGAUUUGACACAUAAAGGAAAUAAAGUGUGGUAGUUCAGUGUUCUCCUGAGAAUACCAUAAACCCUAACUACUUUGGGGAGAUAUUCUGCAUCUAAAAAAACGAAAGUGAAAACAGCAUUCUCUGAGAUGAUACUUUCUAAAACCACCUGGAAUAUGGCAUGCUGAGUCAUGCUCCCAAGCAUUGUGGAUUGGCAAUGACUUGACUUUACCUGUCUGCUAGAGCAUGGUCUUCCUUACAUAAUCUAUUGCUGGCUAC
This is a long non-coding RNA of Canis lupus familiaris (dog), 691 nucleotides long. RefSeq lists it as uncharacterized. The record is from RefSeq and is a predicted model, not a curated record. Lineage: Eukaryota; Metazoa; Chordata; Mammalia; Carnivora; Canidae. The transcript is spliced from 3 exons.